This 248-nucleotide long non-coding RNA is filed under the name Elaeis guineensis (African oil palm). Its description in RNAcentral is "long non-coding RNA (EGUI_LNC039338)". Lineage: Eukaryota; Viridiplantae; Streptophyta; Magnoliopsida; Arecales; Arecaceae. The record is from RNAcentral.
CUCAAGCUCCGCCAUGAAGUCAGCCUUCCUCCGGGUGUAUUCCAUGAAACCCUUUUUGUGGAGGUCCCGAAAGCGAGUAGCCUCCGCUGUGACUUCCGAAUGGCUCUUCCUCAGCCGGUGAAGUUCGUCAUCCAGCUUCUUGGAUUUCUCUGUCAAGUGACGAACUUCCCUUCUGAGGUCUCGGAUCAUCGACUUCAGAGGAAUCCCCUGUGGUAAGGGAAGAGCUUCGGCAGGGCACUGUCUUUGGG